CCCCAGUCGGGCUGCUCCAUAUUUUGAGCAGGAAAUUCCUGCUGUGCCCUACCUCAGUUACAAAAGUGUCUAAACCUUUUAAAAAGGCUUCAUCUUAUUUAGCUUUGUAUCAUGCUCUCGUAAGAAGCAUAUUAGAGUACAACACUGUGAUCUGGUCGCCAAAUUACUCCGUUCAUGUUAACCGCAUAGAAAGAAUACAAAAGCGUUUUCUUAAAUCGGUCUGCUUUCGUCUCGACCUGCACCGCGAGCUCCACACUUACGAAGAAAGAAUGAAAAAGUUUCAAAUGAUAUCUCUAGCCUAUCGUCGUAAAUAUUUAGAUCUUAUGACACUUUACAAAAUAAUUAAUUACUUCAUUGACUCACCAUACUUGCUGUCUCAACUUAACAUUAACAUAAACUAUCGUAUUAGAAGGCCUAAGGUGUUCUCUCUUGACAUUUAUCGUAAUAACACCUCUUAUUAUAAUCCUUUAUCUCGUAUGUGUCG
RNAcentral lists this unclassified non-coding RNA (484 nucleotides) under Melitaea cinxia (Glanville fritillary). RNAcentral's name for it is "misc RNA ENSMCXG00005000398.1". The record is from RNAcentral. Lineage: Eukaryota; Metazoa; Arthropoda; Insecta; Lepidoptera; Nymphalidae.